GUUCCCUACGGGGCGCAGCAGUGGGGAAUAUUGCACAAUGGGGGAAACCCUGAUGCAGCGACGCCGCGUGGGUGAAGAAGUACUUCGGUACGUAAAGCCCUAUCAGCAGGGAAGAAAAUGACGGUACCUGAUUAAGAAGCCCCGGCUAACUACGUGCCAGCAGCCGCGGUAAUACGUAGGGGGCAAGCGUUAUCCGGAUUUACUGGGUGUAAAGAGGGCGCAGACGGCGAUGCAAGCCAGGAGUGAAAGCCCGGGGCCCAACCCCGGGACUGCUCUUGGAACUGCGUGGCUGGAGUGCAGGAGGG
RNAcentral lists this ribosomal RNA (305 nucleotides) under uncultured bacterium. RNAcentral describes it as "bacterial SSU rRNA". It matches the Rfam family "Bacterial small subunit ribosomal RNA", at positions 334 to 656 of the family's 1533-position model. The record is from RNAcentral.